This is a long non-coding RNA of Dermacentor andersoni, 4252 nucleotides long. RefSeq lists it as uncharacterized. NCBI's taxonomy places the organism in Eukaryota, Metazoa, Arthropoda, Arachnida, Ixodida, Ixodidae. The record is from RefSeq and is a predicted model, not a curated record.
UGCAAGCGUCAUUGAUGUACUUAUAACUGAUAAUCUUCCCGUACUUUAACUUUUGCCGCAAAUAUACCUUACUAUGAUACGUGCCACUUUAUUUUAACGUUAAACCAGGACAACGUUAUCAAUACAAUGCGUGAUACUGACUGGUGUUCCAUUGGGAAUUCGCGUUAUCCUGAAAUAGCACUAGAUAAUUUCUGCUCCUUGUUUCUUACACGCAGUGCCUAUACUGUGGACCAGCCAACAAAAUGCGCUUCAGCUUUAUUUUGUGGACGAGACCACAGGAUAAACUCUCACUUUAUUCUGUGGACCAGACCACGAAAUACACUUCAGCUUUAUUUUGUUGGGUAGUGCGGUAGUUCCCCCUCUCGGUCGGUUGCGCUGGCGAACAUUGAGCGAUUGAGGUCUGCUGCGCUGUCUAGUGCCUGCUUCGGAAGUCAGCACGUCCUUGUGCUGUGCGUUGUAUGCUAUGAAAGCGGGACGAAAGCUCUCCUCGCUUGAGGAACACCGAUGGGCAAUAGCCGAGUAUGAGCGCACGGUUUACGCCGAAUUUUGGAUUACUAUGUCGCGAACCGUUCAUGCUGCAAGAAAAAAAGGCAUCACAGGUCCCAUUGACGAGAACCUGACCUACUACAGUGUGACGUAUAGCUGCAAGCACGGCGGAAGAACGCACAAAUCCGUGUCAACAAGUGCUCGUCCUAAACAAAUGUAAGUUAUUGACUCCUCCGCAUAUUUAGUUCACUUUGUAGACCUUUUACGAGUUUUGAAAUAAUGGCGGGUAUAGCAUGGUACAAGAAUGGCGUACACCAUGUGGAAAGCCGUGAAUCCAUGUGGCAGGAGGAAUGUAACUUCUCCGCUCCUAUGUGCGAGGUGUGACACUAAAGAAAUGAGACUAAGUGUGUAGCUUGAAAGAAGAUUGGAGUUGGCAACAACUGUUUCGCUGACGUAAUCCGCCUCACCUCCUCUACUCACGCGUCCAGCUUCGACAGAAGCGAUCACGCCAAUUGGGAGCGCUGCGUCAUUGAGUGAACAUAUGCAACUGCAUUCUGGCGUAAAAAUGUCUGAUGUAAAAACCGAAGAGUGAACCAACAUCAAGUUUCUUGUGAAACUUAAUAAAUCAGCCACGGAAACAUUUCAUAUAAUAACCAAGGCUUAUGGAGAUGUAACUUUGUCUCGUGCACGUGUUUUUCAAUGGCAUAAGCGGUUUUCCGGGGGAAGGGACAGUGUGGAAGAUGAACGUGCUGGGCCCCCAAGGUCAGCGAUUACAGACCAAAACAUUGCCAAAGUUCGUGAUGUGAUCAGUUGUGACCGAAGAUUGAGUGCUCGAGCAGUGGCGGAGUUGGUUCACUUGGAUAGGGAAGCUGUUCGACGCGUUUUAAUGGACGAGUUACACAUGACGAAGAUUUGUGCGAAGGUUGUUCCAAAAGUUCUGUCCGUUAACCAAAAACAGUGCCGUAAAGACGUGUUUGUGGACAUGUUAGAACGCAUUGAUAACGGGCCAAAUUUGUUGAAAUGUGGUGUAACAUGUGAUGAGACAUGUAUUUUUACCUAUGACGCAGAAAGUAAGCGCCAGUCAAUGCAGUGGAAGUCUCCAGGAUCCCCAAGACUCAAAACAGCACGCAUGUAAAAAUAAAAAUUCAAGGCAAUGUUAAUUGUCUUCUUCGAAAUUAAUGAAAUUGUAAUGAUUGAGUGGAUUCCCAAUGGUCAGACUGUUCAUGAACACUACUACAUUGAAGUAUUAAAGGCUUCGUGAAAAAAUUGGGAAGUGUCAGGAUUGGGGGCUCAAUCCCAUCGCUCGUGGUCCGUUGUCAGGAUUGGAGUCCGGCAUGAAUUCGAAGGUAGCUGGCCCAUGCCGUCGUCCAACUUAUCCACGCUGAGGACGUUGAUGAAGCGAAGAACUGCUUCUCAUCGAGAACGAGGAAAAUGGGUUCAUUUACAGUAUUUAAAUCAGUCUUACAUGACUGCUUGAGAAAAAGAGUGUCAGUCCAACAUGACUGCUCAAGAGAAAAUGUCAGUCCAACAUGACUGCACGAGAGAAGUGUAUCGAGCAUCCGCACAACAGCCGUUUUUAAACACUCGGUCCGCCGGCGAUACGUGGCGGCAAAGGUUCGUUUCGUCAUCGCAAAACUAGCCGCCUCCCGCGAAACAAGGUGACGCGAGCGUUCGUUUACUCAUUGUAAAUUCGCCGCCGCCCCGAAGAACAGUUUACGCACACAAAGGCACACACAUUCCGAGGUCUGGAGCCGACGUCAGAGGGGAGUCGUUCCGGGUACCUCGGAGACAUUCUGGGUAGCUCGUUGUCCCGCUGCGGCUUGCUCACGCGUAGCAAAUCAGGUCGGCGCUGGGGACCUCGGGCACAAUAGUUCGUCCGUCGAACCCGUUUCGUCACAACGGCGAUGGGGCUGGUGGAUGGAGGCGGUUUUCAGCACAAAGCCCGCUUUUUCGAACGCAGCCUAGCUGCAGCGACGGAGAGUGGGGGAUGCGCGUCUUGUCCCCCAGUCGUAAUUGGGUGGCAAUUUUUCCUUGCAGCUCGCCAUUCUUAACAGAAGGAAAGUCACAGUUGUGGAGUGAUAGAUGGCUAUUGCACCAGGACAAUGAACCCGCUCACACGGCCCUAUCUCUCAAGCAGUUUCUGACCAGCAAAAACAUUACUGUGAUGGGGAAUCCUCCUUAUUCACCUGAUUUGGCUCGAUGCGACCUUGUUUUACUUCCUAAAGUUAAAUCUUGCUUAAAGGGGACCCGUUUUACCUCAGUUGAAGAGGUUCAGGCAAAAACGGAGAAUCUCCUAAAGGGCCUUCCAAAAACCUCGUUCCAGAACUGUUACCACUACCAGUGCGAAAGUAUCAAUAAGCAGUACAACUGUUGAAGGCAUUGAAGAAAAGCACUGGAGAAAGAAGAGAGGUGUGACUUGCUGAAAUAGCAGCACAUGAUGGUUCAGACGACGUCAUGCAAGUCAUAGACAGUACAAGCCAGCCCGUGGACAUGCCUGCACCCAGCAAAGGAACAACAGGGCCUGUGUCGCUACUCACUCUUGAAGGAGUACCGGCAGCAGUAUUACAGCAAACAUGCAGUGCAAGUGGUUCUGUGGACCACCUUGGCCACAUCAAGUUACCAGCAACAUUGAAGCACAGUGGAAGGCCAAAAGGAAGGGGGCAGACUGUUAUCGGUCUUCCCACAAAACGAAGGAGCACACGUCCAGUUCCAUUCACUAAGAAGGCACCUGCUGAUCGUGCAAAAAUCAUGCUUGGAUGGCUUGUGGAUAAUCGCAAUUUGGAAGCUGCAAUCAAUGGCGCCAAGAUUUCUCAACACAUGGUUGAGGUAUUGCCAAAAAAGGUGUCCUCGGCAAUUUUAGAUGAUGCCUGCAGUUUGGCAGAGAUAAAGCCAUACUUUGAUGAUGAUGCCUGGCUCUCUGUAAUGUCAUUAGUAGAAAUGAAGAAGAGAAAACCGGUAUGGUUCGGUCCCGCGUGCAAAAAACUUAUUGGCAAGGCGUAUUCAGUGUGUUGCGAUUCCUGUCUGGAAUGGAAACAUCUGAAAUGUGCAUGUCUUGAUGGUUUGCCCAAAUCAAGGGCAUGGUUUUGCAGAGACUGCCACCAAUAAUGGAUGACACCCUUGUUGCCACUUCAUUUUUGUAUUUCUAUUGCAAUAAAACUACCCAUAGUGUUUUGAAAACAUAGUUCUAAUUUUGGCCUUUGAAGCAUGUACGAACCAUGCAACUUGUAAAGCCACUGGCAUUGCUACCAUCGUGGUCCCUCUGUCAGAAUCAUUGUUGUGGCAAGAAUAAGUUGUAAUAAAUAUUCAUUUCAUUUGCAUUAAUAUGGCUAUUUGUGUGCUUUGAUAACCAAUCUGGAUUUGUUCUGUACAUGUACAGCAGGCAAGCUUUUAUGAACAGCAAUUUAAAAAAUGCAUUACUUUACAAGCAUGAUGUUUGUAGACUGAUGCAGAGAUGGCACACGUAUUUGCAUCUGAGCAGCAAUUUCAGCCUGUUAACUGUCAAGCUAACAUCGCCAGAAUCUAAAUGCCUUUAUGACAGUCAAGUUAGAAGUGGGUUAAAGUGGGUUUCGAACCUAUGUGAACGAAGUUAUCUCUGCGCGUUUACGGCUCCGUUUUGUGGCUUCCACUUACUGAGCUGAAAAAACAACAUGGCAGGUGAGAAAAACUUGUUUGGGGGCUAUGGGCUUCAGCGCAUAGCAUACGAUUCUGGUCUAAAGCUAAAGCGCUAUACGAAGUCUAUUUUGCGCUGUCCCCUGGUACACAAAAU